RNAcentral lists this long non-coding RNA (333 nucleotides) under Ananas comosus (pineapple). RNAcentral describes it as "long non-coding RNA (ACOM_LNC039615)". The record is from RNAcentral. Lineage: Eukaryota; Viridiplantae; Streptophyta; Magnoliopsida; Poales; Bromeliaceae.
UCGACGGUCAAUGUAUUCGUCGAAACACUGCAUUGGUGAGCGAGAUGUUGGGGUGGCCAGUAUAAUUAGUUGUGUGCCGGGUUUUCAGGAUUUAUUUGAACAGGGGAAUCUUCAUCAGAUUUGUGAUUUUCCGGAACAAACCGGUUAUUAUUUGGAGUUGAUCAGAGAAUUUUACAUGCGAGCAGGUCACCUCAGUGACUCCGACGGUGGUCCGUACGUGUUUAAGACCUUCGUACGUGGUGUUGAGUUAUCCAUCACUCCUGCGACAAUAGCUUCAGUGCUAGAGAUGGAAGCUCAGACUGACGGAGUGGAGUAUCUGCAGGCCGGGUUCGA